Molecule: non-coding RNA, 240 nt
Filed under: Veillonella sp. oral taxon 780 str. F0422
Lineage: Bacteria; Bacillati; Bacillota; Negativicutes; Veillonellales; Veillonellaceae
Description: Bacterial small subunit ribosomal RNA
Rfam family: Bacterial small subunit ribosomal RNA
Source: Rfam by way of RNAcentral
CGGAUCGUAGGCUGCAACUCGCCUACGUGAAGUCGGAAUCGCUAGUAAUCGCAGGUCAGCAUACUGCGGUGAAUACGUUCCCGGGCCUUGUACACACCGCCCGUCACACCACGAAAGUCGGAAGUACCCAAAGCCGGUGGGGUAACCUUCGGGAGCCAGCCGUCUAAGGUAAAGUCGAUGAUUGGGGUGAAGUCGUAACAAGGUAGCCGUAUCGGAAGGUGCGGCUGGAUCACCUCCUUU